GCCCGCCUAGCUCAAUCGGAUAGAGCGUCAGACUCUUAGGAUGUCUAAGGUGGCUGCAUCUGAAUCUGAAGGCUGCGAGUUCGACCCUCGCGGUGGGCU
Guyanagaster necrorhizus is the source of this 99-nucleotide non-coding RNA. NCBI's taxonomy places the organism in Eukaryota, Fungi, Basidiomycota, Agaricomycetes, Agaricales, Physalacriaceae. The record is from the annotation of a RefSeq genome assembly.